UAGGGAAUCUUCCACAAUGGACGCAAGUCUGAUGGAGCAACGCCGCGUGAGUGAAGAAGGUUUUCGGACCGUAAAGCUCUGUUGUUGGUGAAGAAGGAUAGAGGUAGUAACUGGCCUUUAUUUGACGGUAAUCAACCAGAAAGUCACGGCUAACUACGUGCCAGCAGCCGCGGUAAAUCGUAGGUGGCAAGCGUUGUCCGGAUUUAUUGGGCGUAAAGCGAGCGCAGGCGGAAGAAUAAGUCUGAUGUGAAAGCCCUCGGCUUAACCGAGGAAUUGCAUCGGAAACUGUUUUCUUGAGUGCAGAAGAGGAGAGUAGAACUCCAUGUGUAGCGGUGGAAUGCGUAGAUAUAUGGAAGAAUACCAGUGGCGAAGGCGGCUCUCUGGUCUGCAACUGACGCUGAGGCUCGAAAGCAUGGGUAGCGAACAGGAUUAGAUACCCUGGUAGUCCAUGCCGUAAAACGAUGAGUGCUAAGUGUUGGGAGGCUUCCGCCUCUCAGUGCUGCAGCUAACGCAUUAAGCACUCCGCCUGGGGGAGUACGACCGCAAGGUUGAAAC
RNAcentral lists this ribosomal RNA (555 nucleotides) under uncultured bacterium. Its description in RNAcentral is "partial 16S ribosomal RNA". It matches the Rfam family "Bacterial small subunit ribosomal RNA", at positions 355 to 900 of the family's 1533-position model. The record is from RNAcentral.